Molecule: ribosomal RNA, 253 nt
Filed under: uncultured bacterium
Lineage: Bacteria
Description: partial 16S ribosomal RNA
Rfam family: Bacterial small subunit ribosomal RNA
Source: RNAcentral
UACGGAGGGGGCUAGCGUUGUUCGGAACUACUGGGCGUAAAGCGCACGUAGGCGGACCAGCAAGUUAGGGGUGAAAUCCCGGGGCUCAACCCCGGAACUGCCUUUAAAACUGUUGGUCUGGAGGUCGAGAGAGGUGAGUGGAAUUCCGAGUGUAGAGGUGAAAUUCGUAGAUAUUCGGAGGAACACCAGUGGCGAAGGCGGCUCACUGGCUCGAUACUGACGCUGAGGUGCGAAAGCGUGGGGAGCAAACAGG